This 253-nucleotide ribosomal RNA is filed under the name uncultured bacterium. Its description in RNAcentral is "partial 16S ribosomal RNA". It matches the Rfam family "Bacterial small subunit ribosomal RNA", at positions 524 to 776 of the family's 1533-position model. The record is from RNAcentral.
UACGUAGGGUCCGAGCGUUGUCCGGAAUUAUUGGGCGUAAAGAGCUCGUAGGCGGUUUGUCGCGUCUGCCGUGAAAGUCCGGGGCUCAACCCCGUGACUGCAUUCGAUACUGUCAGGCUAGAGGUAGGUAGGGGAGAUCGGAAUUCCUGGUGUAGCGGUGAAAUGCGCAGAUAUCAGGAGGAACACCGGUGGCGAAGGCGGGUCUCUGGGCCGUAACUGACGCUGAGGAGCGAAAGCAUGGGGAGCGAACAGG